GAUAAACGCUGGCGGCGUGCAUAACACAUGCAAGUCGAACGAUGAACCUUAUUAGAUUUCUUCGGAAUGAAAUUAAGCGGAUUAGUGGCGAACGGGUGAGUAACACGUGAGUAACCUGCCUUACACAAGGGGAUAGCCUUUGGAAACGAAGAAUAAUACCCUAUAAAGUCAAAAUAUCGCAUGAUAUAGUGACCAAAGAUUUAUCGGUGUAAGAUGGACUUGCGUCUGAUUAGCUAGUUGGUGAGAUAAAAGCCCACCAAGGCGACGAUCAGUAGCCGGCUUGAGAGAGUGUACGGCCACAUUGGGACUGAGACACGGCCCAAACUCCUACGGGAGGCAGCAGUGGGGAAUUUUGCACAAUGGGGGAAACCCUGAUGCAGCGACGCCGCGUGAUUUAGAAGGCCUUCGGGUUGUAAAAAUCUUUUUUAUGGGAUGAAAAUGACAGUACCAUAAGAAUAAGGUCCGGCUAAAUACGUGCCAGCAGCCGCGGUAAUACGUAUGGACCGAGCGUUGUCCGGAAUCAUUGGGCGUAAAGGGUACGUAGGCGGCCUAGUAAGUUAGAAGUGAAAUAAUAUAGCUCAACUAUAUAAAGCUUUUAAAACUGUUAGGCUUGAGAGAUGAAAGGGAAAGUGGAAUUCCUAGUGUAGCGGUGAAAUGCGCAGAUAUUAGGAAGAAUACCGGUGGCGAAGGCGACUUUCUGGUCAUCAUCUGACGCUGAGGUACGAAAGCGUGGGUAGCAAACAGG
This 745-nucleotide ribosomal RNA is filed under the name uncultured Anaerococcus sp. Its description in RNAcentral is "bacterial SSU rRNA". It matches the Rfam family "Bacterial small subunit ribosomal RNA", at positions 28 to 776 of the family's 1533-position model. Lineage: Bacteria; Bacillati; Bacillota; Tissierellia; Tissierellales; Peptoniphilaceae. The record is from RNAcentral.